GAUGAGUUCACCAGACUGGAGGGGGAGGUGGUCCCCCUCACCACCAUGGAUACCAUGAGGGAUGAGUUCACCAGACUGGAGGGGGUCCUCCUCACCACCAUGGAUACCAUGAGGGAUGAGUUCACCAGACUGGAGGGGGGAGGGGGCCCUCCUCACCACCUUGGAUACCAUGAGGGAUGAGUUCACCAGACUGGAGGGGGAGGUGGUCCUCUUCACCACCAUGGAUACAAUGAGGGAUGAGUUCACCAGACUGGAGAGGGGAGGGGGCCCUCCUCACCACCAUGGAUACCAUGAGGGAUGAGUUCACCAGACUGGAGGGGGAGGUGGUCCUCCUCACCACCAUGGAUACCAUGAGGGAUGAGUUCACCAGACUGGAGGGGGGAGGUGGUCCUCCUCACCACCAUGGAUACCAUGAGGGAUGAGUUCACCAGACUGGAGGUGGUCCUCCUCACCACCAUGGAUACCAUGAGGGAUGAGUUCACCAGACUGGAGGGGGUCCUCCUCACCACCAUGGAUACCAUGAGGGAUGAGUUCACCAGGCUGGAGGGGGAGGGGGUCCUCCUCACCACCAUGGAUACCAUGAGGG
Molecule: long non-coding RNA, 586 nt
Filed under: Salmo salar (Atlantic salmon)
Lineage: Eukaryota; Metazoa; Chordata; Actinopteri; Salmoniformes; Salmonidae
Description: lncRNA (ENSSSAG00000095047.1)
Source: RNAcentral